UGGGGAAUAUUGGACAAUGGACCAAGAGUNUGAUCCAGCAAUUCUGUGUGCACGAUGAAGUUUUUCGGAAUGUAAAGUGCUUUCAGUUGGGAAGAAAAAAAUGACGGUACCAACAGAAGAAGUGACGGCUAAAUACGUGCCAGCAGCCGCGGUAAUACGUAUGUCACGAGCGUUAUCCGGAUUUAUUGGGCGUAAAGCGCGUCUAGGUGGUUAUGUAAGUCUGAUGUGAAAAUGCAGGGCUCAACUCUGUAUUGCGUUGGAAACUGUAUAACUAGAGUACUGGAGAGGUAAGCGGAACUACCAAGUGUAGAGGUGAAAUUCGUAGAUAUUUGUAGGAAUGCCGAUGGGGAAGCCAGCUUACUGGACAGGCAGAAACACGGAAAUGCGGAAAGCGUGGGUAGCAAACAGGAUUAGAUACCCUGGUAGUCCAUGCCGUAAACGAUGAUUACUAGGUGUUGGGGGUCGAACCUCAGCGCCCAAGCAAACGCGAUAAGUAAUCCGCCUGGGGAGUACGUACGCAAGUAUG
This 526-nucleotide ribosomal RNA is filed under the name uncultured bacterium. Its description in RNAcentral is "bacterial SSU rRNA". It matches the Rfam family "Bacterial small subunit ribosomal RNA", at positions 355 to 896 of the family's 1533-position model. The record is from RNAcentral.